This 124-nucleotide small nucleolar RNA is filed under the name Oryza brachyantha (malo sina). The record is from RNAcentral. Lineage: Eukaryota; Viridiplantae; Streptophyta; Magnoliopsida; Poales; Poaceae.
AUCCCGGAUUAACUCGCUUAGCUGUUCUUCUGAUUCAUGGGAGGCCGAGAUCGUUGCUGGCCGGUUUCGCUGAUAGCGCCUUCUUCUCCCUGGAGGCGCUUCAUUAGUAACUGGCCACACACAC